Molecule: ribosomal RNA, 458 nt
Filed under: uncultured bacterium
Lineage: Bacteria
Description: bacterial SSU rRNA
Rfam family: Bacterial small subunit ribosomal RNA
Source: RNAcentral
AUUGAACGCUGGCGGAAUGCUUUACACAUGCAAGUCGAGCGGCAGCGCAGGGGCAACCCUGGCGGCGAGCGGCGAACGGGUGAGUAACAUAUCGGAACGUACCCCGUCGUGGGGGAUAACUAUCCGAAAGGAUAGCUAAUACCGCAUACGACCUGAGGGUGAAAGCGGGGGACCGUAAGGCCUCGCGCGAUGGGAGCGGCCGAUAUCGGAUUAGCUAGUUGGUGAGGUAAAGGCUCACCAAGGCGACGAUCCGUAGCUGGUCUGAGAGGACGACCAGCCACACUGGAACUGAGACACGGUCCAGACUCCUACGGGAGGCAGCAGUGGGGAAUUUUGGACAAUGGACGAAAGUCUGAUCCAGCAAUGCCGCGUGCAGGACGAAGGCCUUCGGGUUGGUAAACUAGCUUUGUUACAGAACGAAAAAGUACUUUAAUAACACUAGAGGCUCAUGACGGUAC